RNAcentral lists this ribosomal RNA (343 nucleotides) under Anaplasma phagocytophilum. RNAcentral describes it as "bacterial SSU rRNA". It matches the Rfam family "Bacterial small subunit ribosomal RNA", at positions 93 to 453 of the family's 1533-position model. The record is from RNAcentral. Lineage: Bacteria; Pseudomonadati; Pseudomonadota; Alphaproteobacteria; Rickettsiales; Anaplasmataceae.
UAGUGGCAGACGGGUGAGUAAUGCAUAGGAAUCUACCUAGUAGUAUGGGAUAGCCACUAGAAAUGGUGGGUAAUACUGUAUAAUCCCUGCGGGGGAAAGAUUUAUCGCUAUUAGAUGAGCCUAUGUUAGAUUAGCUAGUUGGUAGGGUAAAGGCCUACCAAGGCAGUGAUCUAUAGCUGGUCUGAGAGGAUGAUCAGCCACACUGGAACUGAGAUACGGUCCAGACUCCUACGGGAGGCAGCAGUGGGGAAUAUUGGACAAUGGGCGCAAGCCUGAUCCAGCUAUGCCGCGUGAGUGAGGAAGGCCUUAGGGUUGUAAAACUCUUUCAGUAGGGAAGAUAAUG